GCAGAGUCUGCCGGCGCGUCCGCAUCCUCUUCGACACCGAAGGAGACCGUACCGCGUCCGGGGUGUAUACUGAGCACUGCACCUUUAACGAUACCCCGAGAAACCAUUGCAGUGACUCGUCGAGCAAUCGUGCGCGCAUACUUGAUUUCUCCUCGCAAAAGUACUUCGCGAGAUUAACUUUGCGGACUUUCCGAAAUCGCGUAAGUUCUACAUCGUCCUCGUGAAUAUCGAGGUCUUGAUUUGCGACUCGGUAGAAGUUCAAAGGUUGUCAUUGAUUUAUUGCAAGUGCUUGUCAAUGAUUUCUGAGUGAAGGAAUGCAUGACUCCAACUUCAAAGAAACUCCACGCUAAGACCGCGUGGACACAAUCACGACUAUAGAAAAAGAAGGAAAAGAAAUUCACAAACUUUAAAGGCACAUUGGUCGCCGUGCACCAGCAUCUCUGAGGAGCGUUACGAUGUAUUUUUAAAGACUAUCAAUGAUUUACAUCAAAGCUGACAUAACUCGCGUUAGUAUCCGAUCUAUUGAAAUUCUAUCGAACGAUGAAUACAUCACGCGACGCGACAGAAUGUCGAGGCUGAAAGCGAGCCACGACUAAAUCAUUCGCGCGACAUGUAAUUUCACGUGACAAUUGGCGGAUACUCUCAUCAGUGUAUUAUACGUCGAAGGCAUGAAUCGCGCUACGUCGAUAAUCGUCAUUUGGCUGAUGGCACCUCGUUCAAGCGAUGCGGUCGAGGAUGCGACUGACUAUUAUCCACUCGCGGAGAACGACGGCGAUUUCGAGUAUGCGAACGCCACGAAUUGCACAAACGACUACUGCAUCCCGGACGAAGACUACAUCGGCUUGAUGAUGCAGCACAUAUUCCCGAAAUUCCCGGAUUGGGUGUUAAUUGCCAUGCACAGCGUCGUUUUUACAGUCGGCCUCUUUGGUAACGCGCUCGUCUGCAUGGCCGUUUAUCGAAAUCACUCAAUGAGGACCGUGACCAAUUAUUUCAUCGUCAACUUGGCGGUGGCCGAUCUGCUCGUUCUGUUAAUCUGCUUGCCGCCGUCGGUUCUCUGGGACGUCACGGAGACCUGGUUCCUCGGAUUAAAACUCUGCAAGGCUGUACCUUAUCUCCAGACGGUAUCGGUGAGUGUCAGCGUUUUAACGCUGACUUUCAUAUCGAUCGAUCGAUGGUAUGCCAUAUGCUUCCCAUUGAAGUUCAAGUCCACAACGGGUCGAGCGAAAACAGCCAUCAUAAUCAUCUGGCUGAUAGCACUACUUUUCGACAUUCCGGAGCUCCUGGUGUUGCACACGGUGCCAUCGAAUAGUCGAGUGCAAACUAUAUUAUUCACGCAAUGUGUCUGGUCGUGGAGUCAAGAGAGUCAGACCACCUUCACGAUCAUCAAGCUGAUCUUUUUGUACACCGGCCCGUUGCUCUUCAUGAGCGUGGCGUACUGGCAAAUUGUACGUGUCCUUUGGAGAAGCGAUAUUCCAGGACACAAUUUGUCUACUAGAAUCUGUCAUUCAACCGAAAUUCCAUUCUCCGGAGGUGGAAAUCCAGAAGGUCAAUUGAGAUCUCGACGGAAAGCAGCGAAGAUGUUAGUUGCUGUGGUGCUCACAUUUACAAUAUGCUUCUUUCCGGUGCAUUUACUCUCUAUUCUAAGAUGUAUUAUGGCGUUACCGUCGAAUCAAUGGACGAUUGCCGUUAGUCUAAUAGCCCACUGGCUUUGUUAUUUUAAUAGCGCGGUGAAUCCUGUCAUCUAUAAUUUCAUGAGCGGUAAGUUCCGGCGAGAGUUCCAUCGUAGCUUUCGAGAGUGCGGUUCGCCGAGCGAGCGGACGAUCAGGCAGAGGGCUGUCCACCGGCGGCGUUUGCUGUCGCGCGACGGCGACGGAUACACGGACAAGGGGUGCGCGAGCACGAACUUGCGAAACCGACCCUUUUGACACGCGGCGAAACGAGUACCGUGGAAUUCACCGGAAAUGCACCCAGAUGCGCCUGUAUGUACGAGCGUCGUAGCCGAGACGACGUUCGGAACGAGAACAGAUUCGAAUUACGGCACUUGUUAGAUCGAUCGCGCGCUCAGGGGAAAUUUCGUAAGGAGUUCAAGCACACCUUCCGGUGUUCUCACAGUGGCGGGAAUUACGUCCACAGACGUGGACAUGUUAUGGGCAUCUCGGAUCCGUUGAAACAACGCUCGCAAACUUGUACAAGAUCAAUG
Molecule: unclassified non-coding RNA, 2200 nt
Filed under: Ooceraea biroi (clonal raider ant)
Lineage: Eukaryota; Metazoa; Arthropoda; Insecta; Hymenoptera; Formicidae
Description: orexin receptor type 2, transcript variant X1
Source: RNAcentral